RNAcentral lists this ribosomal RNA (450 nucleotides) under uncultured bacterium. RNAcentral describes it as "SSU rRNA". It matches the Rfam family "Bacterial small subunit ribosomal RNA", at positions 26 to 518 of the family's 1533-position model. The record is from RNAcentral.
AGAACGAACGCUGGCGGCAGGCCUCAAACAUGCAAGUCUAGGGGGUGUAGCAAUACAUCACCGGCGGACGGGUGCGUAACACGUGGGAAUAUACCUUUUGGUUCGGAACAACGCAGGGAAACUUGCGCUAAUACCGAAUGUGCCCUUACGGGGAAAGAUUUAUCGCCAAAGGAUUAGCCCGCGUAGGAUUAGCUAGUUGGUGAGGUAAUGGCUCACCAAGGCUCCGAUCCUUAGCUGUUCUGAGAGGAAGAUCAGCCACACUGGGACUGAGACACGGCCCAGACUCCUACGGGAGGCAGCAGUUGGGAAUCUUGGACAAUGGGGGAAACCCUGAUCCAGCCAUGCCGCGUGAGUGAUGAAGGCCUUCGGGUUGUAAAACUCUUUCGACGGGGACGAGUAAUGACGGUACCCGUAGAAGAAGCUCCGGCUAACUUCGUGCCAGCCAGCCGC